GCUCCCCCUUUUCCCUCAUAACAGCGACGACCGACGCCACCGUAUCAAACCCAGUUUCCACAAGCAGCAGCAGCAGCAGCAACAAUGGACCCUCUCUCCGCCCUCCGCGACUUCACAAUCCGCGGCGAGCUCGACAAGAUCGUCCGUGUCAACGACGAGUUCCGGUUCGGGUCCGACUACACCUUCCCCUGCUUCGCCGAGACCGCCUACCGCUCCAAGCAAGGCAAUCUCUACACCCUCGAAACCCUCCUCCACUACGUCAACAACCACCACGUCAAGCACACCGAGUACAUCCAGAACGCCCGCACCCAGGGGAUCCCCACCGUCACUUUCCCCGAUCGCAAGCCCCUCCUCGAUUACCUCACCGGCAAGAUCUCCACCACCGACUCCAUCGAAUUCGUCCUCCCUCAAAACCCUAAAUUCCCCGAUUUGCCCCUCAACGACUUCCCCUUCUCCGACCACCAGAACGACGUCGCUCACCACACCCCGGACCACAGCUUCGCCGAUUCCAAGGAUUUGAACCAGAUUGAGGCCCCCGUGGACUACAUGUCGUUGAUUUACUCCAGCGAGAGGCCGUUGAAGGACCGCGAGGAGCUGCUGGAGUGCAAAGGGAGGAACUUUUACGGCGUGUUGACGGCGGCGACGAAGAGGGAGGAGGAACGACAGCGUAUUGAGUCGCAGCAGAGGAAGGAUGGGCUGGUGGCCAAGAGUAGGUUAAUGGGCUCCGACGACAGGGGCAUGGCGGGCUACGGUGACGAACUGGGCUACGACCCGACGCCCAAGCCCAAGAUGCAUUUGAAGGGAGGGAAGAUUGGGGAAGGUGUGCCUAUAAUUCUGGUGCCGAGUGCGUUCCAGACGCUGAUUACGAUUUAUAAUGUGAAGGAGUUUUUGGAGGAUGGGGUUUAUAUACCUACGGAUGUGAAGGUGAAGCAGAUGAAGGGAGCUAAGCCGGACUGUGUUACUGUGCAGAAGAAGUUUAGCAGGGAUAGGGAUAGAGUUGUGACGGCGUAUGAGGUUAGGGAUAAACCGUCGGCGUUGAAGACUGAGGAUUGGGAUAGGGUGGUGGCGGUUUUCGUGUUGGGGAAGGAGUGGCAGUUCAAGGACUGGCCUUUCAAGGACCAUGUGGAGAUUUUUAAUAAGAUUAUGGGAUUUUUCAUGCGGUUUGAAGAUGAUAGUGUGGAGUCAGCAAAGAUUGUGAAGCAGUGGAAUGUGAAGAUCAUCUCGAUUAGCAAGAAUAAGCGACACCAAGAUAGAGCUGCGGCAUUGGAGGUGUGGGAUCGGCUAGAAGAGUUUGUGCGGUCACGGUCACAUUCUUGAUGUGUGCAUCAAGUUUCGGGGAGAAAGAUGUGUUCUGAUUUUGGUUGUGACCAUUUGGCCCUUUGUACUCGUGGGAUUGGAAAUGUUUUUAUUAUUUAUUGGAUAUUGUAUCAUUAUAUCUUCUGGAGGAGUGAUAAAGUUAUGUCAUUCAAGAGCACACGGAGAGAUGCUUGGUUGGAAGUUUUGUUACAUCUAUCUUGAGUUUCAGCAACCCUUCAUCAAGAGCCCAGGAGAAUACCUCACAUGGUUCACAUAGUUGCAAACCUUGAAAAAAGGUUUGGACACAAUUUGAUGAUAGUAAAGACUUUUCUGUAAUGCUGAUGGACUUUACUUGGGGUGAAGAUUGCUACGUGAUUCACCUGUGGAGUAAAAUGUAUGUGGCAACUGCGAAUCUUUGGAACAUUGUGUGGGGGUAUAUAUCCUAGCAUCACAAGGAGAGUCAGCUGGAGAAGCAGCUGCAUAAAUAUAGUAGUACAGGCAGUUAGCAGAAGGUUAAAAUCUACAAUGAGGCAAAAAUCAAAGACUUAACAUCCGCAUGUUCUUACCGUUACACUGGCUGAGGGGCGGAGUCUG
Rosa rugosa (rugosa rose) is the source of this 1890-nucleotide RNA transcript. It is a transcript of the gene named protein CDC73 homolog, with no coding region annotated. The transcript has 5 exons. NCBI's taxonomy places the organism in Eukaryota, Viridiplantae, Streptophyta, Magnoliopsida, Rosales, Rosaceae. The record is from RefSeq and is a predicted model, not a curated record.